GUCACAUGCAUGCUAUUACAACGUAUAUUAGGUCAAAAACAGAUGAAAAAUGCUCCAUUGUUAUCCUAGAGAUCUCAAUUUGGGGGAGAAAUCAAGCUCUAUAAUACCUUCCAACUGUGGGAGUGAGCUAUGACUUAUCAAAUAAAAAAGCAACAAAGCAUUGCCAUCCAUAGCGAAGAGAAAAUUUAAGAUAUGGAGAAAAUCAAAAGAGAGAGAGAGAGAGAGAGAGUAGGCCCAACACUACACUAUAGGGACAUUUCUUGGCUAGUAUUGUCGGGCCGAGAAAGCUAGGCAUAGUACUAGCUGUGGUGGUUAGUGGAAGGAUUAGAUGG
This 332-nucleotide long non-coding RNA is filed under the name Elaeis guineensis (African oil palm). RNAcentral describes it as "long non-coding RNA (EGUI_LNC009899)". The record is from RNAcentral. Lineage: Eukaryota; Viridiplantae; Streptophyta; Magnoliopsida; Arecales; Arecaceae.